GAUGAAGAACGCAGCGAAAUGCGAUAAGUAGUGUGAAUUGCAGAAUUCAGUGAAUCAUCGAAUCUUUGAACGCACAUUGCGCCCUUUGGUAUUCCUUAGGGCAUGCCUGUUCGAGCGUCAUUUGAAACCUCAAGCUCAGCUUGGUGUUGGGUGUCUGUCCCCGCCUCCGCGGGGACUCGCCUCAAAAUCAUUGGCGGCCGGUACGUUGGCUUCGAGCGCAGCAGAAACGCGAACUCGAGGCCCGGCGGAUCGGCGACCAGAAGUCUCUUCUUCACAGUUUGACCUCGGAUCAGGUAGGGAUACCCGCUGAACUUAAGCAUAUCAAUAAGCGGAGGA
This 336-nucleotide unclassified non-coding RNA is filed under the name soil metagenome. Its description in RNAcentral is "partial contains 5.8S ribosomal RNA, internal transcribed spacer 2, and large subunit ribosomal RNA". The stretch from base 1 to 120 matches the Rfam family "5.8S ribosomal RNA", at positions 35 to 154 of the family's 154-position model. The record is from RNAcentral.